ACAAAUCUCCAAAAUAGCACCUUUCUAAGUUUAUAUCACAAAAUAGCACUCAAAAACUAAAAUGACCAAAAUAGCAUUUUAUCUUUUGAAAAAUUUAAAUUUCUUUAUUUUUCAAAAUUUGAAAUCUUAUCCCCAAAACCUCACUUCUCAACUCUAAACCCUAAAACCUAAACUCUAAACCCUAAACCCUAAACCCUAAACUCCACCCCU
RNAcentral lists this long non-coding RNA (210 nucleotides) under Brassica napus (rape). Its description in RNAcentral is "long non-coding RNA (BNAP_LNC003303)". Lineage: Eukaryota; Viridiplantae; Streptophyta; Magnoliopsida; Brassicales; Brassicaceae. The record is from RNAcentral.